RNAcentral lists this long non-coding RNA (3687 nucleotides) under Brassica napus (rape). RNAcentral's name for it is "long non-coding RNA (BNAP_LNC026224)". The record is from RNAcentral. Lineage: Eukaryota; Viridiplantae; Streptophyta; Magnoliopsida; Brassicales; Brassicaceae.
AAGACAGAGAAGAUGAUUUACAACAAGAAUCUGUUAAACCUCCUUUGGUUGUUAUGUAAGAAGGAAAAGCAAAUGCAGAUAGAGCCAUUAAAGGGAGGAAAGAAGAAGACUUGACAAAAGAUUUGUCAGAAACAAAGAGAAACAAAGGUUAUCAAGAACAGUGAAAAAUCAAUACUUUAGAAGGUGGUGGUGACAGUGGUGGAAGGUUGAAGAAGAAAAGAUGGACACUUUUUGUAAUGGGUGAUGAAAUAAAACGACAAAAAGGCCAAUUUCUUGGAUUAUGGAUUUUGAUAUGUAACGGUGUUUUAAUAUAUCAACAGAGAGAAAAAAAAAAGGUCAGAAGAUAUUGAGAUGGUGCGUGAUCCGCAGAGAAAUUGAGAUUUUGGUUGGGCCACGUCACCCAAAAAAUCCAGGUUUUGGAUAGAUAUUGAUAUAUACUGCCUAUUUUGCUUUGUGUUUUCUUUUUUUUUAUUAUAUGGCUUUUAAGAGAAAUGUAAAAUGAGAAUUUUUUAGAACUAUAUAAAAUGAUAGUUGCUUUCAUUCAUUGAAUGUUUUAUAACAACCAAUGUACCAAGGUGAGAAAGAUGUAGAAGUUUAUAACAAAAUAGGAACCUCUUUUAAAAUAAAUAUGCUGAUAAAGAAAAAAAUCGUAACUACUUAACACUAACACAAAUGUUUCGACUAAGCUAUGGUUCAUAUAUAUAUAUAUAUAUGUAUAUAGGAGUUUGUAGUUUCGUAUUUAAAAUUAUUAAGUAAUAACACAAAUUUGUUUAAUAUUAGCUUAGAUAAUAUCUAUACUAAUAAAGUAAAAUAAACUAUCUUUCGUUAAGGUAUCUAAACAAGUAAUGCACCAAAAAUUUGACACUUAAUCAAAAAAUUAAAUUUAUAAAUUUGACACUUAAUCAAAAAAUUAAAUUUAUAAUUAUCUUUCAUAUUUCUUAUUUUUAAUUAUUUAUCACAACUAAAAGUUUUAAAUUUUUUUCUAAUCAUAUAUAUUUUCAACUCAACCAAAUUUCUAACAUCAGUUUACCAUAAAAUAUUUAAUUUAAUCUAAAUACCGCUGAGCCAUACCCCAACAACGCAACCCUCUCUCCUUCUUUUAAGAUCCUACCUUUCCCAACCUCAAAAGGAACACCUUUGUUUCCAGGAGGCAACGCAACGCCAAUACCGUUACCUCUAGGAUAACGGAAACAAGAAGGACGGUCAUCAAUAGCAGCAGCGGUUGCAACGAUGUUAAAAAGCUCAGCUUCAUCAGAUGGGGCCAUCACUAUCAUGUUAGGAAGACACGCCAUGAACGUCACAUCAAAUGCUCCACAAUGUGUUGGACCAUCAGCUCCCACUAGUCCAGCUCUAUCCAUCGCAAAUCUCACCGGUAACUUCUGCAAAUCCACAUCAUGUACAACCUACAGAGAAAGGCAUCACCACUUCAUACUCUAUUAGCCUUUAAAAAAAAUGAAUGCUGUUGAAACUUGCCUGGUCAUAAGCACGCUGCAUGAAAGAAGAAUAGAUUGCACAGAAAGGCUUAAGGCCUUCACACGCUAAACCAGCAGCAAAAGUAACUGCGUGCUGUUCCGCUAUCCCGACAUCGAAACAUCUUGUAGGAAAGCGACGUUGGAAGAGAUUCAACCCUGUCCCACCUCCCAUGGCUGCAUGAAUCGCAACCACGUCUUUGUCUCCCUCUGCUUCCGCCACUAACGCCUCCGCAAAGUACGUUGUGUAAGACUGAGUCUUGUUAGUACUUUUGAACUGUUUACCAGUUGCAGGAUCAAAUUUCACAACACCUGAAAGACAAAGAAUCAAUAUAAAUGUCACACUUGCUUAAGAUAUAACGAUAAAUAAGUCAAUUUUACCAUGGUAUUUGUCAUCAGCUCUCUCAGCGUAAGGAUAACCACGACCUUUCUCAGUUAUGACAUGGAUAAGAACCGGUCCUGUGGUUCUUGCGCUCUUGACUUCUUUAAGAAUGGCUACCAAAUCAUCUAUGUUGUGUCCAUCAACUGGACCAAUAUAGUAGAGACCGAGUUCUUCAAACAGCGUUGAUCCAGUUCCGCUUAUCAUCCCUCUAGCGUAUUCAUCUACCUUAGCAGCUAACUGAUGCAUUGGCCCACCUAUUUGCUUUGUCACACCCUAUAACACAAACAACAAACAACACAAGCUAAAAUCGUUUAUCCAACUUCAUAGAGAUCAGGACAAUGUACUUGCCUUUGCGACUUCUCUCAACUCUCUGAGAGCUGGGUUUGACUGUAACCGGCUAAGAGCGCUGCUCAACGCUCCAACGGGUGGACUCGGUCCGUCCAAAGUGGCAGUAGGUAACGAGACUUGCUUGUUGUCGUUAAGAAUGACAAUCAUAUCCGAGUCUAGAUAACCAGCGUUGUUCAUGGCUUCAUAAGCUUGCCCUGCAGUCAUAGCACCGUCACCGAUCACAGCAACCACAUUGUUGUUCUUCCCUUUCAAAUCCCUUCCUACUGCCAUUCCUGUAAAGUGGAAAGCCAAAGUUUAUGAUUCAGUUUUGUUUUCUUGUUACCACAAGGACACACCAAAUGGAUUUUUUCUUGGCUUACCUAAGCCAGCAGAUAUUGUGGUUGAGCUAUGUCCUGUCCCAAAGCAAUCAUGUUCGCUCUCUCCACGCUUAGUAAAACCGGAGAGGCCAUUGGUUUGCCUCAUUGUAGGCAUCUUGUCUCUUCUCCCGGUGAGAAUCUUGUGAGGAUAAGACUGAUGACCAACAUCCCAAAGAAUCUUGUCCUGUGGAGUGUUGAAAAUGUAGUGAAGAGCCACAGUGAGCUCCACAACACCGAGGCUUGACCCCAAAUGUCCACCAGUUUUUGAGACGUUGAAGAUCACAUCUGAUCUCAGCUCAUCAGAGAGUUGUUUCAGCUCCUGCCAAUGAGUUAAACCAAAUACAAAUCAACAAGAAGCUAUAGGUCAAAGGCUUGAUGGUGAUUCAGUUUUUUUUCUUUAUUACCUUGAUGGAAAGAUUUUUCAUGUGGAUUGGGUAAUUGAUUGUGUCAAGUAAUGGAGUUGGUGGUCUGUUUGAAUAGUAUUCACCCUUCUCUGCAAGUGAAGCAUUCACUUUUGCCUUUCUGUUGGACUGUACAACGCAACACACAUCACAAAAACAACAACAACAUUAGAACAAAAAGCUGUCAUUUUCUCCAGAACUUUUACUCAUUGGUCCAAUUUCAAUAAACUAACAUACAAAAAGGGUCUGAUUUGUUUGACUUCUGUCAAAAAAUGAAGUAAACCCAUUACUUAAUUCUAGAUUUUACCAAAUGGGUUACCACCAAAUCUCAAAAAGAACACAAAUCUACAGUUGAUCUGAAGUGAAUCUUACAUGACUGGUGUUUGGCCUCAGACAUGGUGAUGGAAGAUCUGCAGAAAAAGAUCGAGAAGAAGACAGAGAAGAUGAUUUACAACAAGAAUCUGUUAAACCUCCUUUGGUUGUUAUGUAAGAAGGAAAAGCAAAUGCAGAUAGAGCCAUUAAAGGGAGGAAAGAAGAAGACUUGACAAAAGAUUUGUCAGAAACAAAGAGAAACAAAGGUUAUCAAGAACAGUGAAAAAUCAAUACUUUAGAAGGUGGUGGUGACAGUGGUGGAAGGUUGAAGAAGAAAAGAUGGACACUUUUUGUAAUGGGUGAUGAAAUAAAACGACAAAAAGGCCAAUUUCUUGGAUUAUGGAUUUUGAUAUGUAACG